UGGGGCCGGGGACGGGGAAGGCGCCGGGGCGCAAGGCACGCCUGUCCGGCCCUGGGGUGGCCUGGACCGUUCCGUCUUGCUCUGGAAGGACCAGCGUCCCCGCGUGGGUCAGGAGGCAGCCAUUGGCGGAGCCCCCGUCGGAGCCCAGGCCCCGUCCUACCGCCGGGUCCCGUCCUUUCCCGUCGGGAAGCACUCUCUGCUGGCGGGGGCUCUGAGCUGGAUUUUUAUUACCAUGGCCUCUGCCCCUGGCUCCUCCCAGGUGAUCCGCACUGUACACUCCACGGAGCAGCGUCACACCUGUCAGCUCACUUUCCCAGCUGCUCUGUGAGAGGGUCAGGGGUCAGCCCUGCCUGCUCCUAGGCCUUUCCUUUUCGCGCUGUCUGUGGCUGCUUUCCCCGAGGACAGAGCCAGUCUGCCCAGAGAACCUAAAACAUUUACUCUCCGGCCCCUUGCAGAAAAGGUCAUGAUGUGAACAGCCGAGGCUGGUAGUAACCACCUUCCUGUCUCUGCUGUACCCGUCUCGGCUAAUCCAGCCGGACUUCUGGUGGUGCUGGAGGUUAAACGGCACUGCGAGGCAAGAGGAGAUUAGUCUUGGGCUUUAACAAACUUCCCGCAAACAGAGUAUCUGAAAAGAAACAUUUGUUGAAGACACCACUGUUGGAGAAUGUGUCACCAGACCCACGGUCCAUGUCUUGGCUGAGGCCUGAGAUCUGAUUCAGCUCCUUGGUGGGGAGGCGAGCCCUGGAGCCGGUCGUCCGGGGAUAAUGGAAGCUCAGAGACACUAAGGAAGCCGUGUGGUUGAUGAGAAGAGGACCAGACGGCCACCCAGGCCAGCUCCCCCGCUGCCCCACAGGGAGAGCCUGGGCCAGGGCAGAAGAAAGCUAGAGGCGGAACGCAGGGAAGCAAGGGCUUGCAGCCCCCGGUGAGGAAUUUGGACUUUAUCCUGGAGGCCAGUGGGUCUCAAUCCUGGCUGCACAUCGGAUCCUCUGGAGAGCUCUAAGGAUGACUACUGCCUGGGUCCUACCCCAGGAAGCCUGACUCGGCUGUUUUUUUGGUUUUGUUUUGUUUUUUAUAUUGGAGUAGAGUUGUUUAACAGUGCUAUGUCAGUUUCAGGAGUACAGCAAAGUGAUUCAGUUAUACAUAUACAUGUAUCUAAUCUUUUUCAGAUUCUUUUCCCAUUUAGGUUAUUACAGGAUAUUGAGCAGAGUUCCCCGUGCUGUAGAGAAGGUCCUUGUUGGUUAUCCAUUUUAAGUAUAGCAGUGAUGCAGCUGUUGUUUUUGAAGCUCUCCAAGUGAUGCUGACGUGCAGCCAGGCUGUGAUGAGAACUGCCGUCAUGUUGUCACACACGGUCACGAGGCCUGCUUUUCACUGACCCUUCGCAGGGACUCCUGGGCCCGAGGCAACGCCCUCGUGCCCCAGCUGCCCCGAGAGCCCUCACAGAGGCGUUACCCUCUUCUCCCAAGCCAGUCUGCGAGCUCCGGUCGCCCCACACUGUCCCAUCCGUUUCUGGCCCCCGCCCCCCGCCUGGGUCUGCCCCCGGCACAGCCGCUGGGGAGCCAGUGUCGCCCUCACCAGGGUCGGGGGCUCGGGGGCCGCGGGAGCUGGGGGUCGCGGCGGGGGGAGCAGCCCCCCCCGCCCCCCAGAGGGCGCUCAGCCUCUCGCACUCCGGAAGCCUUUGCGCCCGCUAAAGCUUGUAGCGAGGAGCUCCAAACAUUGCCAUCAUACUGAUGACAUUUUAUUGUUACAGAGAAAAAUAAUUUAAAAAUAUAUGCAUCAUCCACAUUUCAAUUUUUUUCUCUCUGGAAACUUUAAUUCCCCACGUGGCUGGAACAUAAACAGACCAAGAGGACCACGGUGACCCGCAGAAAGCAAGUGAACGGAACUGACCUCCCGGGGACUGUUGUUAUUCUAGAGUCAGCGAGUUGAGAGCUUUGCCCCGCAGGGUCUUCAUCUCCUCAAACACCUUUUCUCCUGCCUUCUCCAGUGGCUGUGCUUGGUCUCUCGCCUCUCUAAGCAUAUACAUCAAACACAGACCCGGCAAGGCGCAUCAGGGCCCUCAUGAAGCACCACCAACCUGCUGCCGGGCCCAGUGUUGCGAGAGAUGCCUUGCGAAGGUCGGAGGGCUGUUUGUCCGCAGACACAGUUGAAACCACGCUUAGCGAUCCCUUACUUACCAGUGGAAACACCCGACUGGUAAGUGGCUCAAGCCUGGUUUCCAGUCUGAGCCGCACCAGUUUCUCAGCAGAGACACGUGACCUACGCUCUCAGCCGCCGUUUCCAGACGCGCACCUGGUGUGCAUCCCGUCCCCCAGGAUUGCUGCAAAGGGGAAACGAGAACGUAUUCGUACACAUCCCGGCGUGAUGGCUUCUAAAGGCCCAGUUGGCAGGAGCUGGUUCUUCAUGUUGAUGAGUCAAGUGGACGCACAGUAUCUCUGACUUUGGUAAUAGCUCCAGAAGGUGGGAAUCAAGAGGGAGGGCUCUGCACCUGGGUGGAGGAGUGGCUGAUGUGGAGGCCAGAUGUCGCCGGUGUGUCGAGGGGCAGAACUUUCCAAAUAUCUGGGAGGACGUGAUGAGUGUAUUUGGUUGGAAGCACAGAUGUCUAAGGGCUGUGAGCUCAGCUAUACGAUCUGCCCAGAUAGAAGAAUUCAAUACAGAAUUAAGUGCUUCUCCCCUAUAUUCACAGCAGCACUAUUCACAAUAGCCAAGACAUGGAAGCCACAUAAAUGUCCAUCGACAGAGGAAUGGAUAAGGGAGAUGUGGUACAUGUAUACAAUGGAAUAUUAGCCAUAAAAAAGAAUGAAAUAAUGCCAUUUGCAGCAACAUGGAUGGACCCAGAGAUUCUCAUACUAAGUGAAGUAAGUCAGAAAGAGAAAGACAAAUACCAUAUAAUAUCACUUAUAUGUGGAAUCUAAAAUAUGACACAAAUGAACUUAUCUACAAAACGGAAACAGACUCACAGACAUAGUGAACAGACUGGUGGUUGCCAAGGUGGGGGAGGAGUGAAUUGGCAGAUGCAAACUAUUAUCUAUAGGAUGGAUAACCAACAAGGUCCUACUGUAUAGCACAGGGAGAUAUAGUCAAUGUCCUGUGAUAAACCAUAAUGGAGAAGAAUAUGAAAAAGAAUAUAUAUAUGUAUAACUGAAUCACUUUGCUGUACAGCACAAACUAACAACACUGUAAAUCAACUAUACUUCAGUAAAAUUAAAAAAAUAAAAUUAAGUGCUUCUGAAACAUUUUCUAAAGAGGGUGAAAUGUGAAGUUUUGGCAAAUACCCAAAAGUUUUGA
Eubalaena glacialis (North Atlantic right whale) is the source of this 3285-nucleotide long non-coding RNA. RefSeq lists it as uncharacterized. NCBI's taxonomy places the organism in Eukaryota, Metazoa, Chordata, Mammalia, Artiodactyla, Balaenidae. The transcript is spliced from 4 exons. The record is from RefSeq and is a predicted model, not a curated record.